UCCACAAAUAUCAGUCUCAAAAGCAAGCCUUGCAAGUCCGAAACCUAUUCUAGUGUGUUGAUCUCUUCGUUCGUAUUAAUAUUUUGUUUUGCUGUUAGUUUGUUGUCGGAGUGUGCUGCGAUUGAAAAUGUCUGAGUUGUUGGAGAAAGCCAAGAACUUUGCGGCAGAGAAAGUGGGUCAUGCAAAGAAGCCAGAGGCAGAAGUCACAGAUGUUGAUUACAAGACGCUGAGCUUAGGAUCUGUUGAGUACCUUGCUAAAAUCUCUGUGACCAAUCCCUAUGGAGUUGACCUCCCCAUCUGUGAUAUCACUUACACCCUCAAGAGUGUUGGCAGGUUCCAAUUCUCACUUUUUAUUUUAACACUUUUGAGUUCAAUUUUUAUUUGUUUAUUUUUGUUAUAGAUACUCUUUUGAUCCAUGUGUUUUACUUGAAUUUUCUAAUUUGGUUUUUGUGUUUUCAAUUUCGUCAAUUUUGUCCUAUGUUUUCAUUCUCAUAACAUAUAUAUUUGGUGUUAGUUUUACUUUGUCGAAAGAGAUCUCGAGUUCGAACCAAUACACAAUAUUUAAAUAAAAAAACAAAAAAGAUUAGUUCUAUGCCAUGCUCAUGGAUAUAAAGUGACUUGAUUUGUAUGUGUACGUGUGAAUUUGUAGGGAGAUUACAUCUGGAACUGUACCAGAUCCUGGUUCAAUAGAAGGAAAGGACAUUACUGUGCUUGAGGUACUAUUAAAGGUGCCACAUAGCAUAUUGUUGACCUUGGCAAAAGAUAUUGGAGCAGAUUGGGACAUUGAUUAUGAGCUGGAUAUAGGCCUCACCAUUGACCUUCCUGUCAUUGGCAACUUCACCAUACCACUUAACAAGAAGGGAGCGAUCAAGCUUCCCAGCGUCUUCUGAUCCAUAUGACCUUUGGGAUUCUAUGGGUUUGGUUAUGUUCUGUAACUUUUCUUUUGUUGUUAAUUUAAGUACAUUAAGAUAUGGACUCUGUCUUUGCUCAGCACACAGUGUUUUAAGUUUUUUUGGUUUUUUGUUUUCAGUUGGUUGUUAUCUUCCAACUCUGUCUAUGUGGGCAGGGGUUCGAAGUUGAGUAUUUGUGUUAAUCUUCCUUCCUCAAUCGUUUAUAUAAAAAAUAUUUAAGUUUUUUAAAAAUAUUUUAUAUACCAGUGAUAUUGGAAGGGCUCUUAAUAAUUUAAUUAAAAAUAUAAUAAAAAU
This 1205-nucleotide long non-coding RNA is filed under the name Prunus dulcis (almond). Its description in RNAcentral is "sRNA ncRNA". Lineage: Eukaryota; Viridiplantae; Streptophyta; Magnoliopsida; Rosales; Rosaceae. The record is from RNAcentral.